RNAcentral lists this ribosomal RNA (197 nucleotides) under uncultured soil bacterium. Its description in RNAcentral is "partial 16S ribosomal RNA". It matches the Rfam family "Bacterial small subunit ribosomal RNA", at positions 335 to 524 of the family's 1533-position model. The record is from RNAcentral.
ACUCCUACGGGAGGCAGCAGUAGGGAAUCUUCCGCGAUGGACGCAAGUCUGACGGAGCAACGCCGCGUGAGUGAGGAAGGUCUUCGGAUCGUAAAGCACUGUUGCCCUAGAAGAAAGUCUUGGAGAGUAACUGCUCCAAGGUUGACGGUAUAGGAGAAGAAAGCCCCGGCUAACUACGUGCCAGCAGCCGCGGUAAU